This 429-nucleotide ribosomal RNA is filed under the name Bacteroidota bacterium. Its description in RNAcentral is "Bacteroidetes bacterium partial 16S ribosomal RNA". It matches the Rfam family "Bacterial small subunit ribosomal RNA", at positions 355 to 776 of the family's 1533-position model. The record is from RNAcentral. Lineage: Bacteria; Pseudomonadati; Bacteroidota.
AAGGGAAUCUUCCGCAAUGGGCGAAAGCCUGACGGAGCAACGCCGCGUGAGUGAUGAAGGUCUUCGGAUCGUAAAACUCUGUUAUUAGGGAAGAACAAAUGUGUAAGUAACUAUGCACAUCUUGACGGUACCUAAUCAGAAAGCCACGGCUAACUACGUGCCAGCAGCCGCGGUAAUACGUAGGUGGCAAGCGUUAUCCGGAAUUAUUGGGCGUAAAGCGGGCGUAGGCAGUUUUUUAAGUCUGAUGUGAAAGCCCACGGCUCAACCGUGGAGGGUCAUUGGUAACUGGAAAACUUGAGUGCAGAAGAGGGAAGUGGAAUUCCAUGUGUAGCGGUGAAGUGCGCAGAGAUAUGGAGGAACGCCAGUGGCGAAGGCGACUUUCUGGUCUGUAACUGACACUGAUGUGCGAAAGCGUGGGGAUCAAACAGG